GACGAACGCUGGCGGCGUGCUUAACACAUGCAAGUCGAACGCUGAAGCCCUGGCUUUUGUUGGGUUGGAUGAGUGGCGAACGGGUGAGUAACACGUGAGUAACCUGCCCUCUUCUUUGGGAUAACGCCCGGAAACGGGUGCUAAUACUGGAUAUUCACUGGCCUUCGCAUGGGGGUUGGUGGAAAGGUUUGUUCUGGUGGGGGAUGGGCUCGCGGCCUAUCAGCUUGUUGGUGGGGUGAUGGCCUACCAAGGCUUUGACGGGUAGCCGGCCUGAGAGGGUGACCGGUCACAUUGGGACUGCGAUACGGCCCAGACUCCUACGGGAGGCAGCAGUGGGGAAUAUUGCACAAUGGGCGAAAGCCUGAUGCAGCGACGCCGCGUGAGGGAUGGAGGCCUUCGGGUUGUAAACCUCUUUCGCUCAUGGUCAAGCCGCAACUGUGGGUUGUGGUGAGGGUAGUGGGUAAAGAAGCGCCGGCUAACUACGUG
RNAcentral lists this ribosomal RNA (486 nucleotides) under uncultured bacterium. RNAcentral's name for it is "partial 16S ribosomal RNA". It matches the Rfam family "Bacterial small subunit ribosomal RNA", at positions 28 to 507 of the family's 1533-position model. The record is from RNAcentral.